UGCCCGCUAGACAUGUACACUUAACAAUCAUUCCAUACAACAAAUACAGUAGACCUAUUGCAUAUGGUAUGAGAAAAACAGACCAAAACACAAAAAUUUAACUAUAACCACUGAACCAUGAAAAUGAGGUCAAGGUCAGAUGACACCUGCCAGUUGGACAUGUACACCUUACAGUCCUUCCAUACACCGAAUAUACUAGCCCUAUUGCUUAUAGUAUCUGAGAUAUGGACUUGACCACCACAACUUAACCUUGUUCACUGAUCCAUGAAAUGAGGUUGAGGUCAAGUGAAAACUGUCUGACAGACACGAGGACCUUGCAAGGUACGCACAUAUCAAAUAUAGUUAUCCUAUUACUUAUAAUAAGAGAGAAUUCAAC
Molecule: long non-coding RNA, 376 nt
Filed under: Mytilus galloprovincialis (Mediterranean mussel)
Lineage: Eukaryota; Metazoa; Mollusca; Bivalvia; Mytilida; Mytilidae
Source: RNAcentral